RNAcentral lists this ribosomal RNA (253 nucleotides) under uncultured bacterium. Its description in RNAcentral is "partial 16S ribosomal RNA". It matches the Rfam family "Bacterial small subunit ribosomal RNA", at positions 524 to 776 of the family's 1533-position model. The record is from RNAcentral.
UACGUAGGGUGCGAGCGUUGUCCGGAAUUAUUGGGCGUAAAGGGCUCGUAGGCGGUCUGUCGCGUCGGGAGUGAAAACUCGGGGCUUAACUCCGAGCCUGCUUCUGAUACGGGCAGACUGGAGGUAUGCAGGGGAGAAUGGAAUUCCUGGUGUAGCGGUGAAAUGCGCAGAUAUCAGGAGGAACACCGGUGGCGAAGGCGGUUCUCUGGGCAUGACCUGACGCUGAGGAGCGAAAGUGUGGGGAGCGAACAGG